This 1189-nucleotide small RNA is filed under the name Drosophila virilis. RNAcentral describes it as "GJ26275". Lineage: Eukaryota; Metazoa; Arthropoda; Insecta; Diptera; Drosophilidae. The record is from RNAcentral.
UUUAUUUAUUCUGAUUAUGAUUAUUAUUUUGAUUUUUAUUUCUGUAUAUUUUUUGGUUUUAUAACAUUUGCAGAUACAGUAAUUUCCGGAUUGUGCUAUUAAAAAAUACACUUCAAAGCACCAAGGCUGCACAUCUUUAUUUCAACUCUUCGACUUCCUACUUGUGAUGCAACCUGUCGCAUGUGGAUUUCGAGCUCCUUUGCUUUCGGCGAUUUAACGAUUUUAUGGUUUCUUUCGGUCCUAUUCAACGGCUUUAAGCCACGUCACACAACAUUGCACCCACUCGCACUCGCACUCGCACUCGAACAGGCACAGUCACACACACAUGCAGGGUUUACGAUCCUAGCAUCACCUUCUAGGCUGAAGACCAGGCCCGAACGAACAAGGCAGGCGUCGAAUAGUGUUUUAUUGUGAUUUUUUUUCAUGUUUAUUAUUAUUUGCUGCUCCUCUCACCCAGUUUCAAUUUUAUUAGUUUAUUACGGUUAUUAUCUUUUAAUGACGCGCGCGAGCGCCGUCAGCCGAGGUUCGGGUUGUUAUUGUUGUUUUUAUAUCGCAGUCGAUUAGUUGCCCCUGUUGUUGCUCUCAUGCCCAGUUAUUUAGCAAUAACGUGUGAAGUUGUUUUAUUAUUUGUUUUGAUUAUCAAAAUGGCCAGUUUCUAUUUUCCGGUCGUUGGGCGACCUCUUCCGCCCCUUCCCAGCGCCAUUACGUUCCGGUAGCAUGCAGGUGCUGUAAAUCACAACACGUCGGCAGCGAUCUGACUGCACUCAAAGUGGCAGUCACUCACAGCAGCAGCUCAACUUGUGACUGACUUGUAUGACCAAUAAAGCAAUUAAUUUUUAACAGUUGCUGCUGUUGCUGCUGCUGCUGCUGUUGCCGCCAGGGGCUUUGGAACCCCCAGCUGAUCCGACAUGGAGGCCAUAAAAAUGUUAUUUGCCAGUUCGUUAAAAGUAUUGCUUAUGGCAAAAAGAUUGAUCAAUUGACCAGCAUUUAUCGGCAGCGCAAAGAUUUCGAAAUUAAAUAAACAAAAUAAAACGCCUAUGUUCGGCACUGCGAAGACCACACAAACAUACCCAGGUCAAUUGUGAAUAGGAAGUAAUCCGACGUAGAUCAUUAUUGAGAAUUGAAACAAAAGCAUUUACAUAUAGCACUUUUCGCGACGAAUUCUUUCCAUGGAGCUAUGUAAUAUAGU